AACGCGAAGAACCUUACCUAGACUUGACAUCUCCUGCAUUACUCUUAAUCGAGGAAGUCCCUUCGGGGACAGGAUGACAGGUGGUGCAUGGUUGUCGUCAGCUCGUGUCGUGAGAUGUUGGGUUAAGUCCCGCAACGAGCGCAACCCUUAUUGUUAGUUGCCAUCAUUAAGUUGGGCACUCUAGCGAGACUGCCCGGGUUAACCGGGAGGAAGGUGGGGAUGACGUCAAAUCAUCAUGCCCCUUAUGUCUAGGGCUACACACGUGCUACAAUGGUCGGUACAAUAAGACGCAAGCCCGCGAGGGGGAGCAAAACUGGAAAACCGAUCUCAGUUCGGAUUGUAGGCUGAAACUCGCCUACAUGAAGCUGGAGUUGCUAGUAAUCGCGAAUCAGCAUGUCGCGGUGAAUACGUUCCCGGGCCUUGUACACACCG
Molecule: ribosomal RNA, 432 nt
Filed under: uncultured bacterium
Lineage: Bacteria
Description: bacterial SSU rRNA
Rfam family: Bacterial small subunit ribosomal RNA
Source: RNAcentral